UGCUUCUCACUCUUAGGUACUUUAUUCCUAAUCUCUUCUAUAUAGAAUGUAAACUGUAUCAGAGCAAUGGAUUAUUUAGUUCAGUACUGUAUCCCUGCACCUAUCCACAGUAUUGGCUCAGUAGGAAAUGGCACAUGUUCCUAGACCUCAGAUUCUACAGCUCAGCUGAAGUUAACCUCACUAUUGAUGUUCAUCUAGACUCUCAUUAACCUAUGACCCAAGCUGAACUUGCUUCAGCACUGCAUUGUGUGGCUCAUGGUCAUCUGUGCCCACACCUGCACACCAACAAAACUCUCAAAGGAUGGAUUUUAUUUCUACAUAUAAGUUGGUGAGAGGGGA
This is a non-coding RNA of Ictidomys tridecemlineatus (thirteen-lined ground squirrel), 339 nucleotides long. Lineage: Eukaryota; Metazoa; Chordata; Mammalia; Rodentia; Sciuridae. The record is from RefSeq and is a predicted model, not a curated record.